CAUGCACUGUGUGGGGUCCUGAGGACCGAGUUUGAGAACCCCUGACCUAGACCAAUGCUAAUUACAGUAUCUAGAACUUUAACAUUUGGCUUGAAAAUACGUCUGUAACUGAAUUAUGAGAAGACGCUGCACUGAAUUACACACUUGAGGAAUUUGAGUAGAUUCAACAGUCAGAGCAAAAAUAACAGGAACUAGCUGUGAAUAUAUUGAAGAGAGGAAUCGGUGUGCUCCUACUAGUCAUGUGGAUGAAAUAGAAGG
Long non-coding RNA from Pseudophryne corroboree (corroboree frog), 258 nucleotides. RefSeq lists it as uncharacterized. NCBI's taxonomy places the organism in Eukaryota, Metazoa, Chordata, Amphibia, Anura, Myobatrachidae. The record is from RefSeq and is a predicted model, not a curated record. The transcript is spliced from 3 exons.